RNAcentral lists this transfer RNA (78 nucleotides) under Escherichia coli. Its description in RNAcentral is "tRNA-???(gcat)". It matches the Rfam family "tRNA". Rfam says of the family: Transfer RNA (tRNA) molecules are approximately 80 nucleotides in length. The record is from RNAcentral. Lineage: Bacteria; Pseudomonadati; Pseudomonadota; Gammaproteobacteria; Enterobacterales; Enterobacteriaceae.
GGCUACGUAGCUCAGUUGGUUAGAGCACAUCACUGCAUAAUGAUGGGGUCACAGGUUCGAAUCCCGUCGUAGCCACCA